This is a long non-coding RNA of Ctenopharyngodon idella (grass carp), 1188 nucleotides long. RefSeq lists it as uncharacterized. The transcript has 4 exons. NCBI's taxonomy places the organism in Eukaryota, Metazoa, Chordata, Actinopteri, Cypriniformes, Xenocyprididae. The record is from RefSeq and is a predicted model, not a curated record.
CCCCCCACUUCUCCCAACUCGUGCCCUUUGAAACGCCCAAAUUGUUGGCGGAUGGUUUAAACAUUUGUUGCGCGAGCAGUACAACUCAACGCAUUGUUACCUCGCCUGAAGACCGACCCAUCGCUUACUACUGCGACCUAGUAAACUACCAACACUAAAAUGGCGGCCAACGUUGAAGAAGCUCGUCUUCUUGCAAACGGCGAAGACAGUGCAACUAGUGUUGACGAGGCUGGUCGUCUAACAGGCUCUUCAUCUAACACAACUCAAGGUAAGCUUGUUGCGCCUCCGGGUGUCCCCGGGUUGUGUGGAACUGAAAAAGCAGCAGCCCCGAAUAACCUCAUAACAGAGGUAUCGGUACCUUUGAGUGGCGAUAACAGCGGGUCCAAACCCUGUGACGGAGGUUCAGUAGUGACUCCACAGGAUUCACCACAGACUAAAACAGCCCGAAGUCUUGGUCCUGAGUCCAGCGGAAGCAAAACCUCCACCUCGACAUCUGGGGAAAAGCGGGAGAGGGAAUCCGACAACACCUCUGAUAUUCCAGUGAAACGUCGUUUGAGACUAUCGGAGGACACAGAGGAAGAAAGUGUACGAGACUAUGAUGCGAGAUGCGCCGAGCUAUGGAUCGAUGGUGAAAUGGCCGCUUGCGAAGCUUAUGAAUUACCUCAAGCCAGCAGCAACGGCAGACGCCAACACUUCCCCAGAGACCCAAGACAAGUAAACAAUGCUAUUCGACGCAAUAACAAUUCUUUGGCUCAGCCUGCCACCCAGAAGACGAACAGCGUACAUCCCGGAAUAAUCACCUGUUUUACAGAGUUGAUCAAGCUUUAUCGUCACACUGAUACUUUGCGGAGAGCGGAUUUCACAGAGUUGAUCAAUUUAGUUCGUGAAGUGCAAAGGGAUUUUGCAGUGUUGUCAAAUGAAAUCCAUAAUAUUCGGGUGGAUCAAAGGAAAAUGUUAGAUGCACUCUCUCUUCUGUCUGAAAGAAUGAAUGUCAUUCAAAUGUAUGUGUUAGACACACACAAAACAAUUAUUGGCAAUAGAUGAUGUGUCUGUUUAUACUGAUUUGUUGUGCUCAAGCCACUGUUGUUUCUGGUCUCCAGUUUUAUAUGACAAGUGUUUUUUGUGGCACCCACGCUUGUUCAUUGGAUCAGUUACGUGUGUAGUUUUUAAAUAAAUCACUUCAAAAUG